CCUACGGGGGGCAGCAGUGAGGAAUAUUGGUCAAUGGGCGAGAGCCUGAACCAGCCAAGUAGCGUGCGGGAUGAAGGCCCUUGUGGUCGUAAACCGCUUUUAUCAGUGAAUAAAGUGCAUCACGUGUGGUGUCAUUGCAGGUAGCUGAAGAAAAAGGACCGGCUAAUUCCGUGCCAGCAGCCGCGGUAAUACGGAAGGUCCGGGCGUUAUCCGGAAUUAUUGGGUUUAAAGGGAGCGCAGGCGGUUUGAUAAGUCUGAAGUUAAAGGCUGUGGCUCAACCAUAGUUCGCUUUGGAAACUGUCAAACUUGAGUGCGCGGAAAGCAGGCGGAAUUCGUUGUGUAGCGGUGAAAUGCUUAGAUAUGACGAAGAACUCCGAUUGCGAAGGCAGCUUGCUGUAGCGU
This 402-nucleotide ribosomal RNA is filed under the name uncultured Prevotella sp. RNAcentral describes it as "bacterial SSU rRNA". It matches the Rfam family "Bacterial small subunit ribosomal RNA", at positions 338 to 737 of the family's 1533-position model. Lineage: Bacteria; Pseudomonadati; Bacteroidota; Bacteroidia; Bacteroidales; Prevotellaceae. The record is from RNAcentral.